Molecule: long non-coding RNA, 294 nt
Organism: Sinocyclocheilus rhinocerous
Lineage: Eukaryota; Metazoa; Chordata; Actinopteri; Cypriniformes; Cyprinidae
Exons: 3
Source: RefSeq, a predicted model, not a curated record
GUUUACUGGAUAUCGGAAACGUUUACUGCAGACCAGUGUAAUACCAAUAGAUGGGAUGGAUCAAGCACUGUAAGUGGUGCCCCACACCUGGCAUGGAAUUACAUGGACUUUUUUGAGCAGGAAAUAAAUCAGGGCUCUUUUUGACUAUGGCGACUAUGAGGGAGGACUCAGGUCCCAGUGCCCCUACUGAUACCACAGGCUCCGCCUCCAGUCCACAGAGUGACGCCGUAACCAAUGAGCUGCAAGAACUGUCUCUUCAGCCCGCCCCCAACUUACUUCCUAUUCAUGAGAGGA